This 428-nucleotide ribosomal RNA is filed under the name uncultured bacterium. RNAcentral describes it as "bacterial SSU rRNA". It matches the Rfam family "Bacterial small subunit ribosomal RNA", at positions 355 to 775 of the family's 1533-position model. The record is from RNAcentral.
UGGGGAAUUUUGGACAAUGGGCGCAAGCCUGAUCCAGCCAUUCCGCGUGCAGGAUGAAGGCCCUCGGGUUGUAAACUGCUUUUGUACGGAACGAAAAGGUUUUCUCUAAUACAGGGGACUGAUGACGGUACCGUAAGAAUAAGCACCGGCUAACUACGUGCCAGCAGCCGCGGUAAUACGUAGGGUGCAAGCGUUAAUCGGAAUUACUGGGCGUAAAGCGUGCGCAGGCGGUGAUGUAAGACAGAUGUGAAAUCCCCGGGCUCAACCCGGGAACUGCAUUUGUGACUGCAUUGCUGGAGUGCGGCAGAGGGGGAUGGAAUUCCGCGUGUAGCAGUGAAAUGCGUAGAUAUGCGGAGGAACACCGAUGGCGAAGGCAAUCCCCUGGGCCUGCAUUGACGCUCAUGCACGAAAGCGUGGGGAGCAAACAG